Molecule: long non-coding RNA, 1348 nt
Organism: Ruditapes philippinarum (Manila clam)
Lineage: Eukaryota; Metazoa; Mollusca; Bivalvia; Venerida; Veneridae
Exons: 3
Source: RefSeq, a predicted model, not a curated record
ACGAAAAUACCCAGAUGCACAACUACACAUGCUGAUCAACAUUCCUGUAAAGUAUCAUGACUCUAGGUCAAAUACUUUUUGAGUUACGUGCGACACAAGUUGAAAAUUACAAAAUUUUACUAAGUCAAGGGCAAUAACUCUAAAAAUACUUAUAAUAUCCAGACGAAAAUACCCAGGUGCACAACUACACAUACUGAUCAACAUUCCUGUAAAGUUUCAUGACUCUAGGUCAAAUACUUUUUGAGUUACAUGCGACACAAGUUGAAAAUUACAAAAUUUUACUAAGUCAAGGGCAAUAACUCUAAAAAUACUUAUAAUAUCCAGACGAAAAUACCCAGGUGCACAACUACACAUGCUGAUCAACAUUCCUGUAAAGUAUCAUGACUCUAGGUCAAAUACUUUUUGAGUUACAUGCGACACAAGUUGAAAAUUGCAAAAUUUUACUAAGUCAAGGGCAAUAACUCUAAAAAUACUAAAAAUAUCCAGACGAAAAUACCCAGGUGCACAACUACACAUACUGAUCAACAUUCCUGUAAAGUUUCAUGACUCUAGGUCAAAUACUUUUUGAGUUACAUGCGACACAAGUUGAAAAUUACAAAAUUUUACUAAGUCAAAGGCAAUAACUCUAAAAAUACUAAAAAUAUCCAGACGAAAAUACCCAGGUGCACAACUUCACAUGCUGAUCAACAUUCCCAUAAAGUUUCGUUGAAUUCCAGCCAUUAGUUGCAGAGAACUACUCCGGAAACGAAAUUCGGACGGACGGAUGGACGGACGUUCUAACAGGAGAGUAAUUAUGUGGCUACUCUAUUGUUCUCUCUAUUGUUCUUUUUAGCCACACAAAAGAAAAAAGCCACAUAAAAGCAUUACGGAAUGAAUGACAUCAAAGAGAAAGAACAGUUACCUAUUGUCCCUCUAGCCACAUAAUUACUCUCCUGUGAGUGCGGACGGACGGACGGACGAAUAAGGCGGCGACUAUAUGCUCCCCCGAAAUUUUUCGGGGAGCACAAUCAGUUUUUAUUUCUUAUAUAUAUUUUACAUGAUUGUAUUGUCUUUAUAUAGAAUCUCACCAGUCAUAGUUUUACAACCAAUCAUAAAAACCAGGACAAUUUUAAGGUCAAACAAUACAGUGUUAAAGCAGUAAGCAUAAACUCAUCAACAGAUCCCCAGGGCCAUUUUUUCUUCUAUAACAGGGGCCGAUAUAAGGCCCAUUCACAAUUCAAAAUUGCACCUUUUUUUCACAAAGCGGUGGAAAAAAAUUCACAAUUUCCAAAGAGAUUUCACAAAAUAUUGGGACUUUGUCUUCGAAAUACAUUGUUUACCUUUCGGUAAAACUUGAUUUACGCCAAUU